This 200-nucleotide ribosomal RNA is filed under the name uncultured bacterium. Its description in RNAcentral is "partial 16S ribosomal RNA". It matches the Rfam family "Bacterial small subunit ribosomal RNA", at positions 8 to 198 of the family's 1533-position model. The record is from RNAcentral.
AGAGUUUGAUCAUGGCUCAGGACGAACGCUGGCGGCGUGCCUAACACAUGCAAGUCGAACGCUCUCCAAUUGGUGGCAACACCGAGGAAGAGGGAGUGGCGAACGGGUGAGUAGCACGUGAGCAACCUGCCCCGAAGACCGGGACAACACCGGGAAACCGGUGCUAAUACCGGAUACCCCCAUCGGAUCGCAUGUUCUGA